RNAcentral lists this ribosomal RNA (566 nucleotides) under Streptomyces sp. 303G06. RNAcentral's name for it is "bacterial SSU rRNA". It matches the Rfam family "Bacterial small subunit ribosomal RNA", at positions 93 to 673 of the family's 1533-position model. Lineage: Bacteria; Bacillati; Actinomycetota; Actinomycetes; Kitasatosporales; Streptomycetaceae. The record is from RNAcentral.
CAGUGGCGAACGGGUGAGUAACACGUGGGCAAUCUGCCCUGCACUCUGGGACAAGCCCUGGAAACGGGGUCUAAUACCGGAUACGACCUGCUCCUGCAUGGGGGUGGGUGGAAAGCUCCGGCGGUGCAGGAUGAGCCCGCGGCCUAUCAGCUUGUUGGUGGGGUAAUGGCCCACCAAGGCGACGACGGGUAGCCGGCCUGAGAGGGCGACCGGCCACACUGGGACUGAGACACGGCCCAGACUCCUACGGGAGGCAGCAGUGGGGAAUAUUGCACAAUGGGCGAAAGCCUGAUGCAGCGACGCCGCGUGAGGGAUGACGGCCUUCGGGUUGUAAACCUCUUUCAGCAGGGAAGAAGCGAAAGUGACGGUACCUGCAGAAGAAGCACCGGCUAACUACGUGCCAGCAGCCGCGGUAAUACGUAGGGUGCGAGCGUUGUCCGGAAUUAUUGGGCGUAAAGAGCUCGUAGGCGGCCUGUCGCGUCGGUUGUGAAAGCCCGGGGCUUAACCCCGGGUCUGCAGUCGAUACGGGCAGGCUAGAGUUCGGUAGGGGAGAUCGGAAUUCCUGG